GAUGAACGCUGGCGGCGUGCCUAAUACAUGCAAGUAGAACGCUGAAGGAAGGAGCUUGCUCUUUCCGGAUGAGUUGCGAACGGGUGAGUAACGCGUAGGUAACCUGCCUGGUAGCGGGGGAUAACUAUUGGAAACGAUAGCUAAUACCGCAUAACAGUAGAUGUUGCAUGAUAUCUACUUAAAAGGUGCAAUUGCACCACUACCAGAUGGACCUGCGUUGUAUUAGCUAGUUGGUGAGGUAACGGCUCACCAAGGCGACGAUACAUAGCCGACCUGAGAGGGUGAUCGGCCACACUGGGACUGAGACACGGCCCAGACUCCUACGGGAGGCAGCAGUAGGGAAUCUUCGGCAAUGGACGGAAGUCUGACCGAGCAACGCCGCGUGAGUGAAGAAGGUUUUCGGAUCGUAAAGCUCUGUUGUAAGAGAAGAACGAGUGUGAGAGUGGAAAGUUCACACUGUGGCGGUAUCUUACCAGAAAGAGACGGCUAACUACGUG
Molecule: ribosomal RNA, 497 nt
Filed under: uncultured bacterium
Lineage: Bacteria
Description: partial 16S ribosomal RNA
Rfam family: Bacterial small subunit ribosomal RNA
Source: RNAcentral